GUCAAGGGUCCACUGUAUUGGGUAAAAGGAACUGCUAUGGAUAGGAUCUUAUUAAUGUAGUGGACAGUGAUUUUUCCCCUUCAUGUUUACUGGGAGAAUCUCAGAGCACCAAGAGAUGAAGUUACAAAAGUGAAGCUCCCCUUUUUCCAACAUGUUUGGGUCCCUCUGGAUAUUUCUCAGCAUUGUUCACGUUGAGUAGCCACCAAUUCAUCAAUUAUAAUGUAGAUUUUUCUGGCCACAUCACUGGUUCGCAGGAGGAUUUCUGCUCUGACUUUGUUGUACUGGCAUUUGUGAAUUGUGUACCAUGUGGAAGGUGGACGAAGAGAGGAAUGGGACACGGAAUAGGGGUAUGCCAAUAGAAAAGGAGGGAGGUCAGAGAGCAGCUGAGCUGGGGUAUAUUUGUAUUCAGUCAUAUUCCCAGGAGAGAAGGAAAGAAGUUUGGUGAGCCAGUUUCUGCCACAAAGCUAAAGCAAAUAAAAGCAAAUUAAACCAGGAGUUUCACCAGGAGGUUGAAGGAAUCAUCAAUGCCAAGAGCAGUGUUCCUACUGAUGACGAUAUGGAGAGAGCAUGAAGGGUUGACUGAGCGCUUGUGAUCUUCCCACCUGUGAAAAAGAGAAGCAUCAACCUCAAAAAAUAUCAUAAACAAUGCCUCUGGUCUGAUUCCAAGCAGAUAAAUAUAAAUAAGAUGUGGCCACACACACUGGAUUACAAGAUAUUGCUGGAGAAUUCCCUUCAGAUGUUGCUGGAAGCCCCACCAGGAAGAACUCACCCUCCUAUGACUCUGUUAUCAGACCUUACUAAUGAGGCCAAAUGGCUGUGCAGGUCACUGCCUGCUUUGCACCUGUGUGAACUGUAGCAUCACUGCAGUACUCAGCCAGGCAGCAAAACCCUUUCAUGUAAGGGCUGAAAAUGCAUCCUGAUAUUAAGGAAGAAUCAUUCAAAGGACAGAAGUGCUUUUUCUCUUGUAGGUUAUCUGAACCAUUUACCAUUUAUUUAAGUCCAUGAAAAUUUGAAUAAAUUAUCUGAGAACCAUAAACAAUAUUUCCUCUUAGGCUUCACAUGAAGAUGAAUCAUACAAGCUGUAUCAGUUGAAUAGAGAGGAGGUAACAGCACCACGAUGAAUUGGAGUUGUUUACAUGUAGAGAAAUAACAUAAUUAGUGUAUGGGAGAGAGGCAGAAAGAAAUAACGUUCUAGUAAAGCUCAGUUGUGCCUUGAGAUCUUUUCUCUUGGUUAUGAGGUGGCUGGUUUCAUAACAGACUUGAUCCCUUUGUUGGACUCAGUAGCUGUCUCUGUGAAGCUAAGGCUUAACUUUGCUUCAACACAAGAACUUAAUGCUGUGUCAGUGCAUGAGGAGUUGCCCCCAUAUUCCCAAGUUACUGUGGUGAAAAUAGUUGAUCAUUGCAUUCACUUCAUUCUCUUUCAAGUGCUUUGUCUACUGUGGAAUCUAGAAAGCCAAACACAACAUUUUCCAGAUUCUGUUUCAGCUAACAUUGCUGGUAUACAGUGUGGGCCCUGAGGAGUUAGGAAUCUAGAGAUAGUCUAGAGCAUGUUUAGGAUGGCCACUUCCAGCUGGGCUCUGAUCUCAAGAAUGAGCAUGUGGAUUACUAUGACAUUUUAAGGGUCCCAGCCAGCCUAUGUGCUGGCUGUAGGCAAAGAACCAAGAUG
Molecule: non-coding RNA, 1666 nt
Organism: Heterocephalus glaber (naked mole-rat)
Lineage: Eukaryota; Metazoa; Chordata; Mammalia; Rodentia; Bathyergidae
Source: RefSeq, a predicted model, not a curated record